This is a non-coding RNA of Cinara cedri, 517 nucleotides long. NCBI's taxonomy places the organism in Eukaryota, Metazoa, Arthropoda, Insecta, Hemiptera, Aphididae. The record is from the annotation of a GenBank genome assembly.
CCAUAAUAUUCUAAAAUAAAACUGUACUUAAAUCUGAAAAAAACGACAUUCUAGGAUAAUGGGAACAGGGGCAGUCACUGAUAUUGAUAGUUUAAUGUAUACCUAUAAGCAAAGAUAAACCAUUGAUUUCGAUAAAACGAUUCUGAGCGGAGUUCAGUUGAUAAUGAUGCUUUGUCAACAAUAUAUAUGUAAUUUUAUACUACAAUAAUUAAAUAGGUUUUAUUUAUUUUUUUUAAUAAUAUUUGUUUAAUGUUGUACCUCGGUUUUCCUACAUUUUUCCAGGUUUUCCCAUAUUUUUCCUAGUUUUUCACAUUUGCUGAGAAAAUCGAUAAACAACGUCUCUAAAGUACCUCACCAAUGAAAUUUCUUUUUAGAAAAAUAGCUGUCAUUAAAAGUUUGAGCAAAAUUCCUGGUAGAAAAGUUGUCCACAGGAAAAAAAAAACAUUUUAGUAAAACUAUAAGUUUUUUCGCUCCACUCAGAAUCUAAAAUAAAUACGGACGAAGCCGAGUAAUUCAG